Molecule: ribosomal RNA, 497 nt
Filed under: uncultured bacterium
Lineage: Bacteria
Description: partial 16S ribosomal RNA
Rfam family: Bacterial small subunit ribosomal RNA
Source: RNAcentral
GAUGAACGCUGGCGGCGUGCCUAAUACAUGCAAGUCGAGCGAACAGACAAGGAGCUUGCUCCUCUGACGUUAGCGGCGGACGGGUGAGCAACACGUGGAUAACCUACCUAUAAGACUGGGAUAACUUCGGGAAACCGGAGCUAAUACCGGAUAAUAUAUUGAACCGCAUGGUUCAAUAGUGAAAGACGGUUUUGCUGUCACUUAUAGAUGGAUCCGCGCCGCAUUAGCUAGUUGGUAAGGUAACGGCUUACCAAGGCAACGAUGCGUAGCCGACCUGAGAGGGUGAUCGGCCACACUGGAACUGAGACACGGUCCAGACUCCUACGGGAGGCAGCAGUAGGGAAUCUUCCGCAAUGGGCGAAAGCCUGACGGAGCAACGCCGCGUGAGUGAUGAAGGUCUUCGGAUCGUAAAACUCUGUUAUUAGGGAAGAACAAAUGUGUAAGUAACUAUGCACGUCUUGACGGUACCUAAUCAGAAAGCCACGGCUAACUACGUG